UGAGAUGUAGCCAAGGGGUAAGGCAUCAGAAUUUGACUCUGACAUUCAUAGGUUCGAAUCCUCUCAUCUCAG
This 72-nucleotide transfer RNA is filed under the name Helicosporidium sp. ex Simulium jonesi. Its description in RNAcentral is "tRNA-Gln". It matches the Rfam family "tRNA". Rfam says of the family: Transfer RNA (tRNA) molecules are approximately 80 nucleotides in length. Their secondary structure includes four short double-helical elements and three loops (D, anti-codon, and T loops). Further hydrogen bonds mediate the characteristic L-shaped molecular structure. tRNAs have two regions of fundamental functional importance: the anti-codon, which is responsible for specific mRNA codon recognition, and the 3' end, to which the tRNAs corresponding amino acid is attached (by aminoacyl-tRNA synthetases). tRNAs cope with the degeneracy of the genetic code in two manners: having more than one tRNA (with a specific anti-codon) for a particular amino acid; and 'wobble' base-pairing, i.e. permitting non-standard base-pairing at the 3rd anti-codon position. The record is from RNAcentral. Lineage: Eukaryota; Viridiplantae; Chlorophyta; Trebouxiophyceae; Chlorellales; Chlorellaceae.